UUUCCUUCAGAUUUCCUCUAUCUGCCAAUCAAUCAGUCCCCCUGUCCCAGUCCCUCAGUCCUCAGGAGCAUCUCGCUCAUCUGAGAUGUGAACUGAGUUUCACAAAUGAGCACGAAUUUACAAUUUACAAAGGAACUUUUUAAUAUCCCACUUUGUAUGUCAUCAAGUUGUCCAACCACCUGUGGAUAACUGAAUCUCAUCAUGGCAGAUAAGCAUCACCUUCCAUAUCAUCCCCAUCAGUACUAUGAAGGAAGGAGGCUGCCACCCUCUCUCUAUUCAAGCUACGUCACUGGGAAAGGGUGAGCUGCUCCAUCUCCCUAUAAAGCAGCCAUUGCUAAAGCAGAAUCUUCACUAUUUCAACCAAACACAAGGGUGACUGAUGGAAGGGAUUAAGGUGUAAAGGAAAGAGUUAUCCAGGCCCUCAGCAAUGGGAGUAUUGUGAAGGUUUGGGAUAACAAGACAAUUACUCAGCAAACGAAAUGCCUCUAAUGGGGCAGGCACUCUGCUCUGCACUGAGAAUGUAGAAGCAAAAAGGUACCAUGCAAUCCUUGUCCCCAGGAGCCAGAGCCCAGUGGGGUGAUAAAUCAAUGCCAGUUGGUACCAAUGGAGCUGGCCACAGGGAGCCGAAAGGAUGCCUGGUUAUGUGUGUCCUCUGUCUCUCCAUAUGUUGGCCUUAGCAGAGCUGGGAGGGCUUAUUCUGGGAGCUUGGCUGCAAAGGGCAGUGAGGGGCAUAGCUAGAGUGGGGUGUGUUAGGGCAGAGGGCAGGUGGAGGGUGAAAGGGCAGGCAGGCCAGUUUCUGGCGCUCCUUACUUUUUUGGAACGCUUAGCCCUGUCGAUUCCCAGGAAGGCUUUGGUUCUUGUUCAAAGCAGCUUCAGUUUCUCCCUGACUAGGAGAGUCCCAGGCCCUCUGAAGUGCAUUGCUAUGAGACCAUCCCCAGACCUUGGAAUGCAGUUAACUCCCAGGACACAACAGUGUAGGCUGGGGCUGUUGUAAUGAAUGGUCAUUUAGCACCAGAACUGGGGCUUCUCGAGGAUUCUAAAAGCCCUGAGAACACAGAGGUCUGAGGUUCCCAAGCCAGGUUUUUAAAAAAGAAUGGUGACCUCUUUAGGGAAUCGCUGCCUCUUUGAUAGGGAGGGGAGCACCCUGCUUCCUGGGUUCAGGGGUGUCUUCACUGCUUUGAAUUUUGUGACUCUGAAUUUCAAAGCAGCAAAGAACUUUACCCUAUGAAUGCUUGGCUGGACCGCAGAGUAGGGUCAAGGCCCCUUUGGGGGGGGUACAAACAGGCUCUGAUGGUGCCAGCUGAUAUGCAGGAGAUGGAAAAACUUUGCUCAGUUGGGCCGGAGGACGCUGUAAGUCCAGGGAGGGGCUGUUGCCACCAACUUUCCCCCUGCCCUGGCAGCCCUGGCCUCACCCCCACCCGAUACAUGAGUCAUCAAUGGGAAAAUGAGACAGGGCAAGUCUCAGCCGAGCAAAUGGGAGUCCACCUCGGUGGGGUGGGGUGGGGAGGCCAAGGGAAGAAGGGACGGGCUUGGUCUGGUCAGGGUGAGCUGGGGUUGGGAGCUGAGGCUUUGGCAAGAGUGAGCCUGUUGCAAGGCUGAGAAUGGAGCUGAAUGUGAAGAGCUAGAUGAGAGUCCGCGAGCUGGGAUUGCAGCAGGAAGGAGUCAGAACAGAUGUACAGGGCAGGGUGGACUGUCACCUGGAAAUCUAGGGCAGAUGUGCAGGCAUUGUGGCAGCUGCCCCACUGGGGCCAUGAACCAAGGACCCUGGCAAGACUGUGCCUGGCUGGGUGCCAAGCUGCCUGCAGCUGCAUACGGAACCCUGGCUCAAUAUCCUCGAGCCUCCUGCUCCAGUCUGCCUUCCACAGUCCAACCAACGUGAUCCAUGCAGGAUGAAGUUCACGCUCCGCUAAAAUUGCCAGUGGUUUCCUCCCUGCAAUGCCGGAAGGCCAAACUCCCCAACAGUGCCUGCUUUCUCUCUGGGUGUUUCUCUCUACACUCUCCACGCUCUGAUCUCCUGCCUGCAACUGUCCCCAUCCCAGAAACAGUGAAGGCUGCCUCACACUGCCAGGCGGGCACCCCGCACUCUUCCUACACAUUUUCUUAUUGGUAGCUUGGCGUUCUCUCAUGCCAGUGCCUCUGAAAAGCCUUCCAUGACUGCCCUGUCUACAGGCCAGCUGGAGCCCCUGCUGCCUCCUAUGUGUGGCUCUUCCUCCUCUAUCAAUUACGCUGCAUCGCAGUCACUCGUUUACAUGUCUGCCUGUGCCACUAGACUGCUCUGUUCUUAGGUUUGUUAUGUGUGUAUUCUGGUGCCUGAGAGUAUCUGGCACACAGUAGAAUCUUAAUCAUAAUAAUGGCAAACACUGUAUGUUGAUUCUGUGCUAGGCAUUGAUCCAAGAGCUGUACAAGUAUGUGUACAAUGUUAAAUCACUUAGCACUCCAACACUCUGUGCCGUAGUUGCCAUUACUAAAGCUCCAUGCUUUACCUUAAGAAACUGAGACCCAAAGAAGGGAAAUGGCUGUGGGCUAGGGAGGGGGAUUCUCUUGUUUUAACACUGAAAUUUCCACAUCCUGCAAAGCCCUCAAUCCUGGACAAACUGGAAUGUUAGUCACCAACUCCUCUUCUGCCCCAGCACUAAGUCCUGUUGAGGGGGUCAUGGCAGAGUCCAAGACUAUGGGCUAUAGGGUAUGGCCCAGAGCAUCAGCCAGCCCUGACCCAGGCACCAUCAGUGUCUCCUGCCAUCUUAGAGGAGGGACCGAGGUCCCGGCUGCAGGGAAGAAAGCCAGCUGGGUGUCUCUCUGGGGCUUUCUAAUCAGCUUGGGGGCUUCUCCUGAGCUCCAUUUACAUUUCAGAGUCCAGCUUAACCCUAGUCCUUGUUUACCACCUGCCCAGAUCCUGCCCAGAUCUGGCCUCAAGGAGUCCUCAAGUUCACUGAGACAGAGGGCAGCAAGGGAAAGAUACAGGCAGAACACUGAAGGGCUGUCAGGGGCAUGCAGGGUACAUUUAUUUAAGGGGGUCUCUGAGGGGAGGAGAGGAUGCUGGUUGUGGUGGUGGUGGGAGGACAUUCCAGGUGGAAGAAAUCUCCUGAACAAAGGUGACAGGACCGGAAAAGCUGAGGUGACUCAAACAGGGAACUUAAAGAGGUCUUCAUAGAUCCAGGAGCAUCACAGCUGAGCUUAGAGGAGAUGGCCUGGCGCACACUGAGUGCUGGCCCGGGGCUGGGCUUCUCUCUACAAGAGGGGAGCCAUUGCAAAGCUCUGCUGCAAACACACACACACACAUACACACACACACACACACCCCUUUAUUUUUAUCAUAUUUAUUGAAGAAAAGUGUGAAAGUUAAGAAAAUUAUAAAGAAGACAGCAAAUGUACUUGCAUAUUCUUAUAUCUUGGGGUUCAUCUUUGCAUUUCCAUCUGCUAUACUUCUUUCUUUCUUGCAGUGCUGGGGAUCCAAACCAGGGCUUCGUGUGUGCUAGUCAAGAACUCUACCACUGAGCUACAUUCCCCAGCUCCUCUC
Molecule: long non-coding RNA, 3517 nt
Filed under: Marmota monax (woodchuck)
Lineage: Eukaryota; Metazoa; Chordata; Mammalia; Rodentia; Sciuridae
Source: RNAcentral